Molecule: ribosomal RNA, 421 nt
Filed under: uncultured bacterium
Lineage: Bacteria
Description: bacterial SSU rRNA
Rfam family: Bacterial small subunit ribosomal RNA
Source: RNAcentral
CAGGCCUAACACAUGCAAGUCGAACGAAGGCUUCGGCCUUAGUGGCGCACGGGUGCGUAACGCGUGGGAAUCUGCCCUUAGGUUCGGAAUAACAGUUAGAAAUGACUGCUGAUACCGGAUGAUGACGUAAGUCCAAAGAUUUAUCGCCUAGGGAUGAGCCCGCGUAGGAUUAGCUAGUUGGUGUGGUAAAGGCGCACCAAGGCGACGAUCCUUAGCUGGUCUGAGAGGAUGAUCAGCCACACUGGGACUGAGACACGGCCCAGACUCCUACGGGAGGCAGCAGUGGGGAAUAUUGGACAAUGGGCGCAAGCCUGAUCCAGCAAUGCCGCGUGAGUGAUGAAGGCCUUAGGGUUGUAAAGCUCUUUUACCCGGGAUGAUAAUGACAGUACCGGGAGAAUAAGCCCCGGCUAACUCCGGGCCA